This is a long non-coding RNA of Dinoponera quadriceps, 851 nucleotides long. RefSeq lists it as uncharacterized. NCBI's taxonomy places the organism in Eukaryota, Metazoa, Arthropoda, Insecta, Hymenoptera, Formicidae. The record is from RefSeq and is a predicted model, not a curated record. The transcript is spliced from 3 exons.
GGCGGCGGUCACGCGGUAGCAGCGACGCGUUUGGAGGUUAAGACGAGAGGAAAGAUAAGAACGCGGACCUUGCGCGAAUUCCUCCAGGAGUACAAUUGGGACCAUGUGACUACUUGCUGUUAUCAAUCUGAUCCAAUGAGAUAAACGGUUUCCUGGUGACAAACAGUUUACAAAAACAACAAAUAAGAAUUGGUCUGAGAGACAUAUGAUGUUACUUCAGUGUCAAGAUCGCGGGUCUCAGGGUCUUAAACUUGUCAUGAGGUAAAUAACGGAUCAAUAUCUCAUAAUCGAAUCUUCCGGUACCGGAAAGUCAGACUCGACCAUGACUGUUUGUCUUCGGCCAACGGCGGAGGAGCUGUCAUUAUGUACUCACGUUUUGUCGCGGUAAAAGCACUCGAACGAUCUCGACAUUUUCGAACAAAACGAACAUCCUCGAGUGCCCGAGAGGAGUUUGAAUGACUGCCGAAAGGAUACCGCUAUAUUUGUUCCAAACGUUUUCUUUACUUUUUUUUUCUGUUUUGCACAACCGCUACCUUGCAAACUUCGGCCCGACUGCUCUCGUUCGCGAGUGAUUUUACGGCGACCGCCAAUCGCUGAUUUUUACGACGAAUCCGGUCGUACGAUGGGCCUCGUAAAUCUUUAUGUGUUUACGAUAAGAAUUACGGUUCAAUGGGACAAAUGCAAUCGACUGUCGUGUGUAAUAAACUCGAGGUGAUAGCAGCUCAUCGCGUUUGGCUGACUGCAUUUCUACAAAGUGAGAAGAACCUUGGUUUUCGAAGGAUUUCUGGCGCUCCACUCGAAGCAUAUGCACAUAAUUUUGCAUGAAUAAUAUUUAAUGACCGUUUUGCAAU